UUGCUUUGAUAGCAAAUAUACUAAAAUGGGAAUGACACAAACAGAAGUAGUACGGUCUUUGCACAAAGAUGACAUGCAAAUUUGUGAAGCAUUUUAUAUUUUC
Protopterus annectens (West African lungfish) is the source of this 103-nucleotide small nuclear RNA. Lineage: Eukaryota; Metazoa; Chordata; Ceratodontiformes; Protopteridae. The record is from RefSeq and is a predicted model, not a curated record.